GAGUUUGAUCCUGGCUCAGAUUGAACGCUGGCGGCAUGCCUUACACAUGCAAGUCGAACGGCAGCACGGGAGCUUGCUCCUGGUGGCGAGUGGCGAACGGGUGAGUAAUGCAUCGGAACGUAUCCUGGAGUGGGGGAUAACGUAGCGAGAGUUACGCUAAUACCGCAUAUUCUGUGAGCAGGAAAGCGGGGGACCUUCGGGCCUCGCGCUCUUGGAGCGGCCGAUGUCGGAUUAGCUAGUUGGUGAGGUAAAGGCUCACCAAGGCGACGAUCCGUAGCAGGUCUGAGAGGAUGAUCUGCCACACUGGAACUGAGACACGGUCCAGACUCCUACGGAGGCAGCAGUGGGAAUUUUGGACAAUGGGGGCAACCCUGAUCCAGCCAUGCCGCGUGAGUGAAGAAGGCCU
RNAcentral lists this ribosomal RNA (406 nucleotides) under bacterium enrichment culture clone ALO1_GLFRUDD03G1YWB. RNAcentral's name for it is "bacterial SSU rRNA". It matches the Rfam family "Bacterial small subunit ribosomal RNA", at positions 9 to 417 of the family's 1533-position model. The record is from RNAcentral.